UUGAUGUGUAAACUUGCUCAGUGUGACCUGACGCAAACUUUAUUAAUGUUCUUAUUACUAUCUAGCAACAUAUAACAUUAUAUCUGACAACAUUACAAGUUUUGGCAACAUAAGAUUACAUAAAUAUCGAUAACAAUGUGAUUAAGCUCAGGUUAGCCCGCUCGGCCGAGUGGCUGCUGGUCCGGCCACCGAGGAUGCGUUGCCUGUGGAUUGGCUCGAUCAACCGAGUGGCUGCUGGUCCGGCCACCCGGGAUGCGUAUGGGUCUGGAGGAUGUUUUGACUUUUGAUGUGCGGAGAAUUUGGUUUGCUGCAGAUUUGGUUUAUAUUUUGUAGGUUUGGUGGUAAAUUGUCGGCAUUCAAGUUAAGUAAUUUUAGUUUUUAUAUUUUUUGGCUUUUAUUGAAUAUAUUUUUUUUUUAUUUUCAAGUUGAUUCCCUGGAUGUUGUGUUGGGAUGUCUUCUGGUUGCUUGCUUAGUUGCUGACGUUUUAAAUUUUGUUUUAUUUUCAGGUUUGCUGCAGAUUUGGUUUAUAUUUUAUAGGUUUGGUGGUAAAUUGUCGGCAUUCAA
Molecule: long non-coding RNA, 564 nt
Organism: Drosophila pseudoobscura
Lineage: Eukaryota; Metazoa; Arthropoda; Insecta; Diptera; Drosophilidae
Exons: 6
Source: RefSeq, a predicted model, not a curated record